CCUACGGGUGGCAGCAGUGGGGGAUAUUGCACAAUGGGGGGAACCCUGAUGCAGCGACGCCGCGUGGGUGAAGGAGCGUUUCGGCGCGUAAAGCCCUAUCGGCAGGGAAGAAGAUGACGGUACCUGACCAAGAAGCCCCGGCUAACUACGUGCCAGCAGCCGCGGGAAUACGUAGGGGGCACGCGUGAUCCGGAUUUACUGGGUGUAAAGGGGGCGCAGACGGCAAGGCAAGCCAGGGGUGAAAGCCCGGGGCCCAACCCGGGGACUGCACUUGGUACUGCAUGGCUGGAGUACAGGAGGGGCAGGCGGAAGUCCUAGUGUAGCGGUGAAAUGCGUAGAUAUGAGGAGGAAUACCGGAGGCGAAGGCGGCCGGCUGGAC
RNAcentral lists this ribosomal RNA (379 nucleotides) under uncultured bacterium. RNAcentral's name for it is "partial 16S ribosomal RNA". It matches the Rfam family "Bacterial small subunit ribosomal RNA", at positions 338 to 734 of the family's 1533-position model. The record is from RNAcentral.